RNAcentral lists this ribosomal RNA (440 nucleotides) under uncultured bacterium. RNAcentral describes it as "partial 16S ribosomal RNA". It matches the Rfam family "Bacterial small subunit ribosomal RNA", at positions 338 to 795 of the family's 1533-position model. The record is from RNAcentral.
CCUACGGGAGGCAGCAGUGGGGAAUAUUGCACAAUGGGGGAAACCCUGAUGCAGCGACGCCGCGUGAGUGAAGAAGUAUUUCGGUAUGUAAAGCUCUAUCAGCAGGGAAGAGAAUGACGGUACCUGAGUAAGAAGCCCCGGCGAACGACGUGCCAGCGGCGGCGGUACUACGUAGGGGGCAAGCGUUAGCCGGAUUUACUGGGUGUAAAGGGAGCGUAGACGGCGAAGAAAGUCUGAAGUGAAAGCCCGCGGCUCAACCGCGGAACUGCUUUGGAAACUGUUUUGCUGGAGUACCGGAGAGCUGAGCCGGAUUCCUAGGGUAGCGGUGAAAAGCGUAGAUAUUAGGAGGAACAACCGUGGCGAAGGCGGCUUACUGGACGGUAGCUGACGUUGCGGCUCGAAAGCGUGGGGAGCAAACAGGAUUAGAUACCCUUGUAGUC